RNAcentral lists this ribosomal RNA (711 nucleotides) under uncultured crenarchaeote. Its description in RNAcentral is "bacterial SSU rRNA". It matches the Rfam family "Archaeal small subunit ribosomal RNA", at positions 268 to 983 of the family's 1478-position model. Lineage: Archaea; Thermoproteati; Thermoproteota. The record is from RNAcentral.
UUGGGCUCUGAGAGGAGGAGCCCGGAGAUGGGCACUGAGACAAGGGCCCAGGUCCUAUGGGGCGCAGCAGGCGCGAAACCUCCGCAAUGGGCGAAAGCCCGACGGGGUUAGUCCGAGUGGCCCCUGCUGAAGGGGCCUUUUGCCAGCUGUAAAAAGGCUGGAGAAUAAGGGGUGGGCAAGUUUGGUGUCAGCCGCCGCGGUAAUACCAGCACCCCGAGUGGUCGGGACGAUUAUUGGGCCUAAAGCAUCCGUAGCCGGCUUAGCAAGUCUUCCGUUAAAUCCAACGGCUUAACCGUUGGGCUGCGGAGGAUACUGCUAAGCUAGGGGGCGGGAGAGGCGAGGGGUAUUCCCAGGGUAGGGGUAAAAUCCGUUGAUCCUGGGAGGACCACCAGUGGCGAAGGCGCCUCGCUAGAACGCGCCCGACGGUGAGGGAUGAAAGCUGGGGGAGCGAACCGGAUUAGAUACCCGGGUAGUCCCAGCCGUAAACGAUGUAGGCUCGAUGUUGGGUUACCCAAGUGGUAGCCCAGUGUCGCAGGGAAGCCGUUAAGCCUACCGCCUGGGGAGUACGGCCGCAAGGCUGAAACUUAAAGGAAUUGGCGGGGGAGCACCACAAGGGGUGAAGCCUGCGGUUUAAUUGGAGUCAACGCCGGGAACCUUACCAGGGUGACAGCAGGAUGAAGGUCAAGCUAAAGACUUUACCAGACAAGCUGA